This 301-nucleotide ribosomal RNA is filed under the name uncultured bacterium. Its description in RNAcentral is "partial 16S ribosomal RNA". It matches the Rfam family "Bacterial small subunit ribosomal RNA", at positions 509 to 807 of the family's 1533-position model. The record is from RNAcentral.
CAGCCGCCGCGGGAAUACGUAGGUGGCAAGCGUUGUCCGGAAUUAUUGGGCGUAAAGGGUGCGUAGGUGGCGGUGUAAGUCUAACGUGAAAUCUCGGGGCUCAACCUCGAAAUUGCGUCGGAUACUGCAUUGCUAGAGGAUUGUAGAGGAGAGUGGAAUUCUUGGUGUAGCAGUGAAAUGCGUAGAUAUCAUGAGGAAGACCAGUUGCGAAGGCGACUCUCUGGGCAAUUCCUGACACUGAGGCACGAAGGCUAGGGGAGCAAACGGGAUUAGAUACCCCAGUAGUCCCUGUCUCUUAUAC